CAUUAAUGAAAUUAUGACUGGGGUUGUAGCUGGCCCAUAAAACGGGCAUGUGCACGCUCCUUUCACAAUCCACACACACCUGUGCACCUUCGCGGGGGUCCUCUUUCCUUUUGGGAAGAAGGCUCGCGUCCCUUUACACACCCUCUGUAUGUCUUAAGAAUGUCUACUCGAUGUAAUAAAACGCAUCUAAUACAACUUUCAACAACGGAUCUCUUGGCUCUCGCAUCGAUGAAGAACGCAGCGAAAUGCGAUAAGUAAUGUGAAUUGCAGAAUUCAGUGAAUCAUCGAAUCUUUGAACGCACCUUGCGCCCUUUGGUAUUCCGAAGGGCACACCUGUUUGAGUGUCGUGAAAUUCUCAACCCUCCUCGCUUUUUUUGCGAACGUAGGGAUUGGACUUGGAGGCUUUGCCGGGCUGCUUCUUGUCGCUCGGCUCCUCUCAAAUGCAUUAGUGCGUCUUGUUGCGACGUGCGCCUCGGUGUGAUAAUUAUCUACGCUGUGGUGUGCUUGCUUCUGUGGAGACACGCUUUCGAACCGUCCGAAAGGACAGCUUUCAUCGAACUUUGACCUC
RNAcentral lists this ribosomal RNA (568 nucleotides) under Stereum hirsutum. RNAcentral describes it as "eukaryotic LSU rRNA". The stretch from base 194 to 347 matches the Rfam family "5.8S ribosomal RNA". Lineage: Eukaryota; Fungi; Basidiomycota; Agaricomycetes; Russulales; Stereaceae. The record is from RNAcentral.